GACGAACGCUGGCGGCGUGCUUAACACAUGCAAGUCGAACGAUGAUGCCCAGCUUGCUGGGUGGAUUAGUGGCGAACGGGUGAGUAACACGUGAGUAACCUGCCCCUGACUCUGGGAUAAGCGUUGGAAACGACGUCUAAUACUGGAUAUGAUCACUGGCCGCAUGGUCUGGUGGUGGAAAGAUUUUUUGGUUGGGGAUGGACUCGCGGCCUAUCAGCUUGUUGGUGAGGUAAUGGCUCACCAAGGCGACGACGGGUAGCCGGCCUGAGAGGGUGACCGGCCACACUGGGACUGAGACACGGCCCAGACUCCUACGGGAGGCAGCAGUGGGGAAUAUUGCACAAUGGGCGAAAGCCUGAUGCAGCAACGCCGCGUGAGGGAUGACGGCCUUCGGGUUGUAAACCUCUUUUAGUAGGGAAGAAGCGAAAGUGACGGU
RNAcentral lists this ribosomal RNA (436 nucleotides) under uncultured bacterium. Its description in RNAcentral is "bacterial SSU rRNA". It matches the Rfam family "Bacterial small subunit ribosomal RNA", at positions 28 to 476 of the family's 1533-position model. The record is from RNAcentral.